Molecule: long non-coding RNA, 906 nt
Organism: Astatotilapia calliptera (eastern happy)
Lineage: Eukaryota; Metazoa; Chordata; Actinopteri; Cichliformes; Cichlidae
Source: Ensembl
AAAACACACACAUGCAAAGCUGAAGUGUCACAGGCAACAAAUGAUUUUUACUUAGAUUUCUUUCACUGUAGUUGUAAAAAGUUUAAAGUUCAUAUGUAUUCAACAUGUUUGUAUCAUAUCUGUGCUGAACAAAUGUGUCCUGAGCUCUGACGUCUCUUUUAGAGGACAGUCUGAUGUAUGCUGAGGUCAAACAGCCCAAAAAAGAAAAAGCCAAUGUUACACCCCGGCCUAGGCAACCGGAGUGCAACACGAAAAAAAUAAAAAUAAAGAAAAAACACACGAGAAAGAACUAAUACGGACCCUCCACAAAAUUAAUCCCAAAACGAGAUUUAAAGCAAAAUACCACAUUUAUUUACAUCACCAAACACAAGACGUCAAACUAUUUACAACGGGGGGAAGAUCGCGACCAUGACAUACAGAAACACAAGGCUUAAAUACAUAGAAGGAGCAAUCAGGGAAUGGACCACAGGAGGGAAACACAGCUGGGGCAAAUUAGACCUGACGAGACAAGGAAACGUAAACUGAACACACUAAGAUAACAGACCUUCAAAAUAAAACAGGAAACACAUGACAGUCACGCAAAAACAAAACACUGACAACACCGAAACGUAACACCAAGAAAAACAAAGGUGAGCAAAGUCUGCCAUCAUCUCCACUGAAUAUUGUUCAACAUGUUUAUCUGCUCUUACAAUGUAAAUCUGUUUAUUUUAAUAUUUAUAUUUAUGUAUUCACAAUCCAUCAGCUUUUAAAAAUCUACUAUUUUAUCUUUGCAUUAGUGGAGACAUCCAGUUUCCUCCUGGUUAAUGAUAUUAUUGUUUUCAAUGAUCUUCUCGUCAUUCACAGGAACAUCAAGUCCUGCAGCUGAUGCAGCAGUUUAUUCUGAAGUCACAUCAGGAAGCUCUCUCA